Elgaria multicarinata webbii is the source of this 585-nucleotide long non-coding RNA. RefSeq lists it as uncharacterized. The transcript is spliced from 2 exons. The record is from RefSeq and is a predicted model, not a curated record. Lineage: Eukaryota; Metazoa; Chordata; Lepidosauria; Squamata; Anguidae.
GUAAUGAAAAGACUGGGGAAGGGAAGGUGCCAGUCAACCCUCUAGUUUAAAAGAUUGGUGCCUUCAUGCUACAUUUCUGAUUAGUCUGCUAAGGGAGUGAGUCCUAAGGUCUCCUAGUAACUGCAAGGCUACUGUGUUCAGAGUGGGAAAGCAGGCUGAUAUUAAGGCAGCUGGAGCAGCUUUAAAGAUCUGGGGAACAGGAUAAAGGAUCCGUGGUCCAUACCUAGGUGGGGCCUCUCCUAACACCACCCAUGUUACCUACGACUUGCCUGCAAGCUCACAAUUUAAAAAGAGAAGUUGGACACAUAACGAAGAGGAAAAUUGGUAGAGGAGGAAUGUAGUUCAAAACAUGAGAGGUAAUCCAGAUCAGAAAUGGAGAGAGCUAGCCCAUAGUUGGGUGAUAAAUUCACUACUUGAUCCACAACAUUAAGACUUUCCACUUACUUUCAUCAAACUCUUACCUGGAAUGAUUUGGAUGAAGAUUAGGAGGGUGGCAAGGAGAAGAAAAAGGAUCCUCAUGGCUGAUGCUUGAUGCUGUCCUGUUUUUGCUCCACACCUAAGAAGACUGUUCAAAGCCUGGUGAGG